Molecule: ribosomal RNA, 426 nt
Filed under: uncultured bacterium
Lineage: Bacteria
Description: bacterial SSU rRNA
Rfam family: Bacterial small subunit ribosomal RNA
Source: RNAcentral
AACGCGAAGAACCUUACCCAGGUUUGACAUCCUUGGAAUUUCUCCGAAAGGAGAGAGUGCUUUAUUGAGCCAAGUGACAGGUGUUGCAUGGCCGUCGUCAGCUCGUGUCGUGAGAUGUUUGGUUAAGUCCAUCAACGAGCGCAACCCUUAUGAAUAGUUGAAUUUUUCUAUUCAGACUGCCCUGGCAACAGGGAGGAAGGAGGGGAUGGAUGUCAGGUCAGUAUUACCCUUAUACCUGGGGCUACAAACACGCUACAAUGGCCGGUACAAAGGGCUGCUAAGUCGCAAGGCGGAGCAAAUCCCAUCAAAACCGGUCUCAGUUCGGAUAGCAGGCUGAAACCCGCCUGCUUGAAGCCGGAAUCGCUAGUAAUGGUGAGUCAGCACAUCGCCGUGAAUACGUUCCCGGGCUUGUACACACCGUGUCGA